Molecule: ribosomal RNA, 497 nt
Filed under: uncultured bacterium
Lineage: Bacteria
Description: partial 16S ribosomal RNA
Rfam family: Bacterial small subunit ribosomal RNA
Source: RNAcentral
GACGAACGCUGGCGGCGUGCCUAAUACAUGCAAGUCGGACGCUGAAGAGAGGAGCUUACUCUUCUUGGAUGAGUUGCGAACGGGUGAGUAACGCGUAGGUAACCUGCCUUGUAGCGGGGGAUAACUACUGGAAACGAUAGCUAAUACCGCAUAACAAUGGACGACACAUGUCAUUUAUUUGAAAGGGGCAAUUGCUCCACUACAAGAUGGACCUGCGUUGUAUUAGGUAGUAGGUGAGGUAAUGGCUUAACUAGGCGAAGAUACCUAACCGGCCUUGAGGGGGGGUCGGCCACACUGGGAAUGGGGCCCGGCCCAGGCCCCCACGGGGAGGAGCAGUAGGGAAACUUUGGCAAUGGGGGCAACGCUGGCCGAGCAACGGCGCGGGAGUGGAGGAGGUUCUCGGGUCGUUAAGCUCUGUUGUAUGUCAAGAACGAAUGGUGGAAUGGAAAAUGCACGCUUUGACGGUAGCUAACCAGAAAGCGACGGCUAACUACGUG